RNAcentral lists this ribosomal RNA (439 nucleotides) under uncultured bacterium. RNAcentral's name for it is "bacterial SSU rRNA". It matches the Rfam family "Bacterial small subunit ribosomal RNA", at positions 958 to 1398 of the family's 1533-position model. The record is from RNAcentral.
AACGCGAAGAACCUUACCUGGGCUCGAAGCACAGUGGACCGGGGUAGAAAUAUCCCUUUUCGCAAGAACUGCUGUGGAGGUGCUGCAUGGCUGUCGUCAGCUCGUGUCGUGAGAUGUUGGGUUAAGUCCCGCAACGAGCGCAACCCUUAUCUUCAGUUGCUACCAUUUAGUUGAGCACUCUGACGAAACCGCCUCGGAUAACGGGGAGGAAGGUGGGGAUGACGUCAAGUCCUCAUGGCCUUUAUGUCCAGGGCUACACACGUGCUACAAUGGCCGGUACAAACCGUCGCAAACCCGUGAGGGGGAGCUAAUCGGAAAAAGCCGUCCUCAGUUCGGAUUGCAGUCUGCAACUCGACUGCAUGAAGCUGGAAUCGCUAGUAAUCGCGGAUCAGAACGCCGCGGUGAAUACGUUCCCGGGCCUUGUACACACCGAGACGAC